This 77-nucleotide transfer RNA is filed under the name Caballeronia udeis. Its description in RNAcentral is "Paraburkholderia udeis tRNA-Ser". Lineage: Bacteria; Pseudomonadati; Pseudomonadota; Betaproteobacteria; Burkholderiales; Burkholderiaceae. The record is from RNAcentral.
GACGGCGUGGAGGGUCGUGUUUAUCACGUGCGGUUGCUGCUCGCACCUCAAGCCGGUUCGCACCCGGCGGCCGUCAC